Molecule: small nucleolar RNA, 81 nt
Organism: Poecilia reticulata (guppy)
Lineage: Eukaryota; Metazoa; Chordata; Actinopteri; Cyprinodontiformes; Poeciliidae
Gene: SNORD11B
Product: small nucleolar RNA, C/D box 11B
Source: Ensembl
CGGCUGUGAUGAUGAUGCUGACAGUCGUCUUCAUCCUGAAACUUUCGGUGUGGGUCAGUCACUACCUCCUCUGAAUAGCCG